Mastomys coucha (southern multimammate mouse) is the source of this 463-nucleotide long non-coding RNA. RefSeq lists it as uncharacterized. The transcript has 3 exons. The record is from RefSeq and is a predicted model, not a curated record. Lineage: Eukaryota; Metazoa; Chordata; Mammalia; Rodentia; Muridae.
GAGGUCAAGGAUGGUGAUUCCUUCUGAUGCUCUUUUAUUGUUCUUGAAUGCCUUCAAUAUUCUGCAUUUCCAUAUAAAGUUUAGGAUUGCUCUUUCAAGUUCUGCAAAAAAAUUAUUGGCAUUGUGAUGUGGACUGCACUGAAUUCAUAGGUUACUUCUGGGAAUUCCCUUUACAGAAGGAUAUAUAACAGUCCAAAAGAGGCAAACAAAUAUACUGGCAUGGAUAUUUAUACUGCAAAAAAGUGCUCACCUAUAAAUGGAGAGAUCAUGUGAUAUUGUGGAGAAGGAUCAUUUCCAGUGACACUGCAGAAUGAGAAUUGUGAAUUUUGAAGUCAACACUGUGAUUAUGUGGGUGUGGCGAAUUGAAGCCAGUUAUGCUUAAAGGAUAACAACUCCUUUAACAACUGAGAGACCUCUCUUAAAAGGUAAUAAAAGCAGAGGUAGAGUAAACUUUUUACUUCCA